This is a long non-coding RNA of Sander lucioperca (pikeperch), 1071 nucleotides long. RefSeq lists it as uncharacterized. Lineage: Eukaryota; Metazoa; Chordata; Actinopteri; Perciformes; Percidae. The transcript has 2 exons. The record is from RefSeq and is a predicted model, not a curated record.
ACGUGGGACUUGUUUUUUUGAUUUUGACCUGGCACUUCUUGGUAUUGACUUAUGACUAGGUAAGGGACUUCUUCUGGACUUGGGAGUUGAUUUAAGUAUCAAUUCUGACAUACGAAAGGUGUUUUUAGUUGUGAUUGAUAUGACAAGGCACUUUGUUGAAACUUGACUUGGAACUUGAUGAUGAUUGUGGAUAUGUUGGGCAAACUUGGGACCUAUUGGUUUUGACCUGGCACUUGUUGGUUUUGACUCUGGACUUGGUAAGGAACUAAUUCUACUUUUUUUGGACUUGGGAGUUUACCUUAUUAUGAAUUCGUACAUAGGAAAGGUGGUUUUAGUUGCGGUUGAUACGACAAGCACUUUGUUUGAACUUGACCUGGCACUUUGAUGUGGGACUUGUUGGUCUUGACUCUGGAUUUCUUUUGGUCUUGACUUGGGACAUAACUUGGCACUUGUUGAACUUAAUGUGGGACUUGACUCUGGACUUUCUGGUCUUGACUUGGGACAAAUUAAGGGACUUUCUCUUGAUUUGGAAGUUGAAUUUAUUCCGACCUCAGAGAGAUGUUUUAGUUGCUGUUGGAUGAUAUGACAAGCACUUUGUUUGAACUUGACUUGGGACCUGACGGUCUUCACUCGGGACUUACCAAUGAGCCAAUAAGAAGUUUGUUUGAAGCAUACCGAGGCCUUACCUCUGCACGGUCAAAAGUAUGAAAACAAGUCUUAGGGCAAAAUUGCCAGUCCUCACUUACGACUGGAUUUAUAAUGUAAAAAUUGUCUUUUUAACGUCAGAUAUCCACAAUUCGUUUGAAAAGUUGCAAUAAGGUGUGGCGUUACAGAAAGCUAAGAUGGACAAUAUUCCGCCAGAAAGCACAUGAGAUGUUUCUCAGCCCUGAUAUCAAAGUGAAAUGAUGCUUUAAGUGUCUUGUUGGGAAUCUAGGGUUGAUGUAAAAAGGUUCAGAGUAAAACCUGUGGUUCCCUCCGCUGGGCCAAACUGGGCAAAACUGGAAAUAUUAAAUAAGUUUGGAAAAGUUCUGGAUGUGAAGGAGAUCUAAAAAGGAGUUCAAGAAAUGUUUC